This 460-nucleotide ribosomal RNA is filed under the name uncultured bacterium. Its description in RNAcentral is "partial 16S ribosomal RNA". It matches the Rfam family "Bacterial small subunit ribosomal RNA", at positions 338 to 795 of the family's 1533-position model. The record is from RNAcentral.
CCUACGGGCGGCAGCAGUGAGGAAUAUUGCUCAAUGGACGAGAGUCUGAACCAGCCAAGUAGCGUGAAGGAUGACUGCCCUAUGGGUUGUAAACUUCUUUUAUAUGGGAAUAAAACGUUCCACGUGUGGGAUUUUGUAUGUACCAUAUGAAUAAGGAUCGGCUAACCCCGUGCCAGCAGCCGCGGUAAUACGGAGGAUCCGAGCGUUAUCCGGAUUUAUUGGGUUUAAAGGGAGCGUAGGUGGAUUGUUAAGUCAGUUGUGAAAGUGUGCGGCUCAACCGUAAAAUUGCAGUUGAAACUGGCAGUCUUGAGUACAGUAGAGGUGGGCGGAAUUCGUGGUGUAGCGGUGAAAUGCUUAGAUAUCACGAAGAACUCCGAUUGCGAAGGCAGUUCACUGGACUGCAACUGACACUGAGGCUCGAAAGUGGGGGUAUCAAACAGGAUUAGAUACCCCAGUAGUC